GAUGAAGAACGCAGCGAAAUGUGAUACGUAAUGUGAAUUGCAGAAUUCAGUGAAUCAUCGAAUCUUUGAACGCAUAUUGCGCUCUCUGGUAUUCCGGAGAGCAUGCUUGUUUGAGUAUCAGUAAACACCUCAACUUCCAUAUCUUUUUUGAAAUGGGAGUUGGACUUGAGUGAUCCCAACGCUUUUCCUCACCGAAAAGUGGCGGGUUACUUGAAAUGCAGGUGCAGCUGGACUUUUCUCUGAGCUAUAAGCAUAUCUAUUUAGUCUGCCUAAAAAACAGAUUAUUACCUUUGCUGCAGCUAACAUAAAGGAGAUUAGUUCUUGUGCUGACUGAUGCAGGAUUCACAAAGACAGCUUCGGCCGACUUUGUAAACUCGAUCUCAAAUCAAGUAAGACUACCCGCUGAACUUAAGCAUAUCAAUAAGCGGAGGA
Molecule: unclassified non-coding RNA, 432 nt
Filed under: soil metagenome
Description: partial contains 5.8S ribosomal RNA, internal transcribed spacer 2, and large subunit ribosomal RNA
Rfam family: 5.8S ribosomal RNA (bases 1-120)
Source: RNAcentral